GCCCGCCGCGCGCAGCCACCUCCCCCGGACGCCAGGGCGUGUGCGGGGCUCGCGGGCUCCUGCGCUCCGGGCUGGUUCUUUUCUCGGCCGCGUGUGUUCUGGUUGUGAAUUCAUCCAGCAUCCAGGAUGACGAUCCGACACCAAGGCCAGCAGUACAGGCCGAGGAUGGCAUUUCUCCAGAAGGUUUCCAGGCUGCCUCUUGGUCCUGAAGAAUCGGCAUUGCUUGGGCAGAAUGUCGGAGGGUGAAGAGCCUGGUACCCGGUGCAGAGGUGCACGGGCUGCAGUUAGCUGGGUCCACUCCAGCUCUGAGCCACGUAAGGUAAGGAAACUGAGGCUAGUGAGAGCCAACCCUGGAAGAACUGUGGGUGUGAUACGGCGAAGCUGGGCCCACCACAAUGGUGGAAACAUAGAGGACAGCAUGCAGUGGGAAGGAGCUUCCAUUUCUACGCUUCUGCAUGAGGAGGAGGGAAGGCACCUGGAGGAGAGCCUUGAAGCUGAGAUUGAAGGAUGCCGGGCUUCUGCCGGGUGAGGAAAGGUGGAAGGAGGACCCAGGCCAUGGAGGGGCGUGUGCCAGAGGGGUGUGCAGGUCUGGUGCGUCUGAGGCAAGCCGUUCGCUGUUGCUGAGCUUAUUAUACAAGAGGAGUGUGCGGCCGGACAGGCAGGCAAACUGCCUUCAAAGGUCAUCUGAUUUUUCCCCAAAGAAGCCACUGAGGAAUUUCGAGCAGGAACACAGGAUGGUAAAAGCUUCUUUAUAUGAAAUACUACGUAACACAAUCUUAUAGUGUCGGAGAAGGUAAAUCCGCUGCACGAAAGAACAUAUACACACACACAGGAUAGGACGGCGGACAUUAUCCUCAUUUUAAAAUUGAGGACACUCAAGUUCAAAAACUUCAGGCAGUGAGCGCCUGCGGCAAGUGGCUGUCCUGGAAGAGAAAGAACCCAGCUGGUGUCCCGCAAGUAACCUAUAAUCGCGAGAGUCCCAUUUCUCCUUGGAAAGAGAACGUGAUUUUAAUCCGCAGGGAGGGCGUGCCCCUCCCACCCUGUACCUUCUGUCCUAUUGCAAAUUGCGCUCUGUGUGUUCCCCCUUUACCCCGCUGUUCUUCCAGGGCCACGGUUCCUCAGCUUUUGACCUGACUUCUCACUCCCAAAUCUGGCCGCAAUCAAAUAUUAAGUUGGGGCGUCCCCAUUAUUUUCUAUGAGCCAGUUGGCCUCCAGCAGUUAUAAAAAGGAACGAAGUCCAUAGCUCUGGGUAUUCGGGGGACGAUCCCGAAGCAUCACUCGGGGGAAAAGGACCCCGGCGCCGUGGCUUCGAGGUAGCCCCUCCGUGAAGCCUUCCUCCCCUCACCUCAACUCCGCGGCGUGCGGGUCCGCAGACCAGGCUCCGCCUGCGGCCCCCCGCCCCGGCUUUUGGAACCCGACAACCCUCGGGACACCUCCCAAGAGCCCCAACUUGAGGACAGAGCCUCCCGUCGCCCGCCAAACUCCUUAAAGGGGGCCGGGUGGGGCGUGGCCGGAAGUGGCUCGCCGGGGGAAGUCUGUCUCCGGGGAGUCUGCGUUUCCUCUCUAGGAGUUGGGAGGUAUCCGCACUUCUAUGGUCUGGACCUCGCGCGGAGCUGCAGCACGAAGGAAAGGGGGCGCCGGGUCCGGCGGGUUAGAGCGCUGAACCCUGCCUCCCGUUUUCUACCUGUGUGCACUUGGCAGCACUAUUGGCAGAGAGUCGGAAAUUGCCCUCGUCACGAUUUUAAAAAAUGGAGAUACAGAAACCCAGUAAGGCAGCCGCAAAACUCCUCAACGGUUUUCUAGCCGUUUUUUGUUGGUGUAUGCGCACAUAUUUUGACCUGAGUCUAACUUUCAUGCAAUAACACUGCUAAAAUGACCCUAAAUAAUUAAAAAAAAAAAAAAAAAGGCUUUGCAUUUGAAGUACCUUUUAAACUUGAACCCCCGGCUGGGGCUGGACCUGCUGCUCCCGUCCCUUCUCACAGAGCCAGCCCUCUUGUUCCCAGAACUGCAGGGAUGAAUGAGCACACCUGCUCCUCCCCUCACCCCUGGGCGCCCAGCUGGCUCAUCUGUUGAUUCAGAGGUUCAUGUUACCAACUUUGACUACUCUCUUAUUUGGAUUUUCGGCUCUAAAAAGAGAAAGGGAAAACUAUACAAAUACAAAUAUAGAGUCUAAUAAAAUUAGAAUUGUUUAGGUUUAAAAAAUGUAAUAGCAUCCAACACAGAAAAGGGUGUGGUGAAAUUAGUUCAUUCUGGGCAAACACAAUGGAAAUAUGCAAUCCUGUUGAAAAACUACUUGGCAUCCUGUAUCAAAACUCAUUUAACUCAUUUAACAUGAGAUGUUAUCUGUGGGAAAUUUAUCCCAACCAAAUAAUCCAAGAGAAAGGAAAAGCUGCAUUUCUGAAAUUAUUCUACAAUAGAUAACUGUUGAUUUUGCUUGCCCAACAUCCAGUUUUCUUUUUUCUGAUUUUAAUACUAUGAUUUUUAUGUGGGAAACUAGUUAGCUCUCAUUCCACUUCUGGGGUGGGCACAUGACCCAGGCUGGACAAUCAGAAUAUCUCAGCAUGGCAUGGAGGUAAGGUAUGAAGCCAGAGGCCAGGCUGCCUGGGUCCUAAUCCUGCCUCUGCUGCUUAAUAGGUACUUAAUGAACUUCAGCUUGUUCUUUAUCCUCUUUGAGUCUCAAUUUACUCGCUUGUUGAAUGAGGAUAUUGAUAAUAAACAUCAACUUCCUAGGGUUGUGGUGAGGACUAAAUGAAUGAAGCAGGUAUGCUAAGGCCCAUCAUGUACUACCGUUAUCAUUUCCCAUCUUCACACCUCUGAGCAGGUUCUCACCACCUUUCCUUGACUUACUUUUCUUUUUGUCUUCCACAUACUCCAAUAUCAUCUACUGCAAUAUCUCAGAAUUCUAUUUUCUUUCUUUCUUUCCUACUGGAAAUACCCUAAAGUCAGGACCGUGUCUUAUUCACCUUUAUACCUGGGUGCUUAACAAAGUUCCCACUCCAGAAACGGUCCUUAAUAAAGGUUUGUUGAACAAAACUGAAUACUCUCCAACACAGAGCAGAGAAGGCUGGAAGAAUGAAUGAAAGUGUAAUAAAUCCUAGAGGAUAAACAAAAGGGAAAUAGAGAGAACCACAUGAAGCUAGAACAAUUUUCUUACAAGAAAUGGCUCGAUCCCUGGGGAUUGCAGACUCUAUUUCUUCCUGGCCCUGAACUUACUCUCAUAUGGUGGGCGGAUGAGUUCCAGCGAUAGACUGGUACCUAAAGCCAACUUUCUGAAUUACUGCUUCCCUUUUCUUCCUUUGACCCAUCUCUUCCCCGGGGGAUUGGCAGGAGAAAAGACGACUGCCUUCAGAGUGAUCAGAUCUGCACUGAGGAUAUCAGAUACCACUCUGCAAGACCAAUAUUCAUGUGUAAAAACUCAUACAUACAAGGCAAAGUAGAGAGGCAGCUCAAGGGGGCGGGCUUCAUUCAGUGCAUGGAGCAGGUGGAUCAUGCCAGCCAGGAAACCCUUUCUAAUGAGUGAUUGCCUUGCUUCUGAUGGUGAUACUGGGUUAGUGAUAUCAGCAUCUAUUUCUCUGCCAUAUGAGACUCCCUUGGAGCCACACUCAUCUGAGACUCAAAAAUUCUUAGAGUUGGUAGAGAUGGACAGGAACAUUUAGAUUACCACUGAGUGUAGUGUAGAUAUCAUCUAUGUCAUCUUGGGCCAUGGCCACGGCCGCUUAAGCUAUGAACACUCCAAUGACACCCAAUUCCCUGGUCUAUGAGAUAACCUAUUGUAGGGGCAUUAGCUGGCAUGCCCCUUUAAAAACCAUGUGUCCUUGAGGCUCCUGUCUGCGCUAUGUGCCAGCACUCAUGAUGCUAACAGUCCUGGGCUUGGCCAACCCAGCUGCUUUCUCAUGGGAGAGUUAGCACCAAAACCCUUGCGGUCUGAGGGAACACAGAGGCCCUCUGGGGGCUCUGGUCCUUGGAAUGCAGGUCAUACAAGGACGAUCCCCCUUGCCACGCACAUAGCCUUUGUUCCUCUGUCUACUUAAGCAAGCUUCUCUCAGGGGUUGAUAGCGGGUGCAGGUCACUGUCCAGCUAGCCACCACUGGACCUUUCCUGUAACUCCCAAUAAACCCAUAUGCUUUGUUUCUGUCUCCAGGUCUUUUCUUUGGUGUCUUGGCAACUUAUCCCACACUGCUCACCCAGAUGGGCGUGUGGCAGAACUCUUGGUGAGCCAGCCAGGAGAACAAAGGAAACUGUGACAAUGUCUGCCAGCCUUUUCGCUGCUUGGGCACACACCGUUGCUGACAUCAAAAACUGCUCCAACUGCUGGGUAUGCAGCGAGCUGCCUCUCUUCAACCACGGGGCGACCAUGGCGUCUCCAAGCUGCCAACACCUCUGAUGGAAGGGCCCUACAAGAGUGGAGGAACACUGCCCGCUUUCCUAUUUCUACGCCCCUCCACCUGGUGACAUGUUUUCUUUGGUGUCCUUGCCUUUUUACUACUUUUAUUUUCAUAUUGUGCUCUCUGUUGCUGUUGUGGUCUCAAGCUACAAUGCUCUUCCUGUGUCUAGCUCGAGGGAAACCGUGGAAGACUGGCGUAAUGAUAUCGUAAGGGCCGUUCCAACACGUGGGGGGUGGAGUGUAGGGGCAUUAGCUAGGGUGCCCCUUUAAAAACCAUGUGUCCUUGAGGCUCCUGUCUGGGCUAUGUGCCAGCUCUCAUGAUGAUAACAGUCCUGGGCUUGGCCAACCCAACUGGUUUCUCAUGGGAGAGUUAGCACCAAGACCCUCUCGGUGUGAGGGAACACAGGGGCCCUCCGGGGGGGCUCUGGUCCUUGGAAUGCAGGUCAUACAGGGACGAGCCCCCUUGGCAGGCAUUCAGCCUUUGUUCCUCUGUCUACUUAAGCAAGCUUCUCUCAGGGGAGGCAGCGGGUGCACCUCACCAUCUAGCUGGCCACCACUGGACCUUCCUUGUAAGUAACUCCCAAUAAACCCAUAUGUCUCGUUCACUG
Equus caballus (horse) is the source of this 4992-nucleotide non-coding RNA. Lineage: Eukaryota; Metazoa; Chordata; Mammalia; Perissodactyla; Equidae. The record is from RefSeq and is a predicted model, not a curated record.